AGCUUUGCGCAGUGGCAGUAUCGUAGCCUAUGAGGAUUAUCCGAGGCGCGAUUAUUGCUAGUUGAAAACUUUACCCAAUACCCCGCCUGGACGACUUGAAAUAUAGUCGGCUAAGGCAAUUUUUGACGGUCUCUACGGAGA
Molecule: small nuclear RNA, 141 nt
Organism: Takifugu rubripes (torafugu)
Lineage: Eukaryota; Metazoa; Chordata; Actinopteri; Tetraodontiformes; Tetraodontidae
Gene: U4
Rfam family: U4 spliceosomal RNA
About the family: U4 small nuclear RNA (U4 snRNA) is a component of the major U2-dependent spliceosome. The structure of U4 snRNA from yeast and human has been reported.
Source: Ensembl